This 1325-nucleotide ribosomal RNA is filed under the name metagenome. Its description in RNAcentral is "bacterial LSU rRNA". It matches the Rfam family "Bacterial large subunit ribosomal RNA", at positions 1561 to 2925 of the family's 2925-position model. The record is from RNAcentral.
AGUGGAUGGGGAGCAACCUAGUUGUGCGUGUGUAAAGGUAGUGCCAAGAAAAGCGAUGAUCAUGUUGAAAAUCAAUUCCCGGUACCCGAAACCGACACAGGUGGGCAAGUAGAGAAUACUAAGGGGCGCGAGGUAACUCUCUCCAAGGAACUCGGCAAAAUGACCCCGUAACUUAGGGAGAAGGGGUGCCACCGAGAGGUGGUCGCAGUGAAGAGGCCCAGGCGACUGUUUAGCAAAAACAUAGGUCUCUGCAAACUCGAAAGAGGAGGUAUAGGGGCUGACGCCUGCCCAGUGCCGGAAGGUUAAAGAAGUUGGUCAGUUUUAGGAUGAAGCUAGCGACUGAAGCCCCGGUGAACGGCGGCCGUAACUAUAACGGUCCUAAGGUAGCGAAAUUCCUUGUCGGGUAAGUUCCGACCCGCACGAAAGGCGUAACGAUCUGGGCGCUGUCUCGGAGAGAGGCUCGGCGAAAUAGGAUUGUCUGUGAAGAUACGGACUACCUGCAUUUGGACAGAAAGACCCUGUGAAGCUUUACUAUAGCUUGGAAUUGUGUUCGGGCUUCCUGUGCGCAGGAUAGGUGGGAGGCGUAGAAGGUAUUCUUGUGGGGAUACUGGAGCCAACGGUGAGAUACCACUCUCAGAGGCUAGAAUUCUAACUUAAUUAAGGACAGUUUCAGGUGGGUAGUUUGACUGGGGCGGUCGCCUCCAAAAAGGUAACGGAGGCGUACAAAGGUUCCCUCAGACUGGUUGGAAAUCAGUCGAAGAGUGCAAAGGCAGAAGGGAGCUUGACUGCGAGAAGUACAGUUCGAGCAGGGUGGAAACACGGUCUUAGUGAUCCGACGGUGCUGUGUGGAAGGGCCGUCGUUCAACGGAUAAAAGUUACUCUAAGGAUAACAGGCUGAUCUCCCCCAAGAGUUCACAUCGACGGGGAGGUUUGGCACCUCGAUGUCGGCUCAUCGCAACCUGGGGCGGAAGUACGUCCCAAGGGUUGGGCUGUUCGCCCAUUAAAGCGGUACGUGAGCUGGGUUCAGAACGUCGUGAGACAGUUCGGUCCAUAUCCGAUGUAGGCGUGAGAAUAUUGAGAGGAGCCUUCCUUAGUACGAGAGGACCGGGAAGGACGCACCGCUGGUGUACCUGUUAUGAUGCCAAUUGUAAACGCAGGGUAGCCAAGUGCGGAGAGGAUAACCGCUGAAAGCAUCUAAGUGGGAAGCCCACCUCAAGAUGAGUAUUCUGGUGUAAGGUCACGGGAAGACGACCCGUAAAUAGGCACGAGGUGGAAGUGCAGAGAUGUAUGAAGCCGAAGUGUACUAAUAGACCGUCGGCUUGACC